This 1918-nucleotide long non-coding RNA is filed under the name Anser brachyrhynchus (Pink-footed goose). RNAcentral describes it as "lncRNA (ENSABRG00000011193.1)". Lineage: Eukaryota; Metazoa; Chordata; Aves; Anseriformes; Anatidae. The record is from RNAcentral.
AUUAGCUAUGCUGCCUGUGUAUGGGAGACAGUGGGCAACCCCAAGAUGAAAGAGUUGGUCCAGGACUGAUGUUCCCUUUGUCAUACAGGUUACCAAACUGUGUUAUCAUUAGUAGGGCUUUAACUGGUAGUUCUUCAUUCAGCUUCUUCCAUAAAUACUGGAGCACAAUCUGAGCAAUACUGUUUACCAGUCUGUUUCUCCACACAGGCCUAAACCUGGCUUGCUCAAUGUGCUGUGUUGGUAAACAGUAGGAAGCACAAUAGAUCAUUUGUAAGGACACUAGGGCAUUAACAGGGUUGGAGUUUCGGUGCUUCUGAGCAAGCAGCCUAACUGUGUGCUCUCAAGUGUAUGCAAUCAUGCACUUCUAAGACUAUAACUGAAGGCUCAAAGCAUGGACUUCUUGGUCUUGGAAUCAUUUUGGACACUGAAGCCCUGAAAUACUUCUGACCUAAUUCUGACUCACUUUGAAGAUCCUGCUGCCAUGCAGCAACGUUUCUAUUGCAGCCAUUUUUUUAGAAGUCCGUACUGUAUUGUUUUCAUGUCAUAGUGCCACGUCUAUAAGAAAGGGCUGUGAAGGAUGAGGCAAAACCACCCCUUAGAGCCCAACAUGAAGGAAACUUAUACCACUGAUGGUGGCUACCAGCUCUAAGUUAUAAACAACUUCUAUUUAUGAUCAAGAUAGUGAGGAAACAGCAAAGCAAGGAAGGCAUACAUGAGAGAACAUUAUGGAUCUCUCCCCUUCCAUGUUGCCGCAGCCUGCUCUGUGAGCUGCCAAUAGAGGGAGUCGUGUGGGGUCAGAAAACAGGGGGGAGGCAUUGCCAUUGGGGAUGGAGAUGGAGAUCUGCUGCUUGCUGUGAUCUAUGCGUGGAGGAAGAGCAGGGCAGCACAGCAUGUUCCCGGGCAGUAGCUGAACACCACUGACUCCCUCCCCCGGUCCUGUCAUCUACCCACUUGCCUUUGUCGCCUCAAGCGGUCUGGCACGCUGGGAGAGAAGCAACUUGACAUGUCUGCAUGAUGCACAGUUUUGACCCUUCUUGAGUUCCUUGCAGCAGCUUAAACAAGAACCGUCUUGACUUUGGUCAUUUUACGAUCUAGUUAACAGCAAUACACAAUUUUCUUUGAAAUAUGCAUGCAUGUUUAAAAACCUAUUUCUAUCAAAAUAUCAAUAACAUGAUUUUGAAUAUUUUGAGUUGCUUGUACUUGUUUGGACAAGCAUCUUCUCCUUGCUUUAACUUACCAUAUUAAACUCACCCUUGACCAAGCAUGAAUAGUAAAUCAAUUAUUUUACAUACGGGAGAGCUGCUUCUCUUAAAAUAAGCCUUUCCCAUGCUGAUGAACUCCUGCAAACUUGAUGGGUGCUGACCUGGUCUGGGGAGCCUUGUUCUAAUUUAUAAUGUUGCUUAUUGUGAGAAUACUGCCUACGCAAGUCCUGACGCUUGGUGUGCAGAUUUGCAUUCCAAUACUCAGAGCGCUCUGUACGGGUGGACAGGGCUGGUAUGCUGGCUCUCAGAGCACAAUGGGAAUUAUGGAUAUGUGUCUCUGGGCCAACAAUUAUUUCCAUGUGCUUGCUAAAUGAGCACAGAAGAGGGAAGACUUUCCUCUUGUUUAGUCUCUAUCACUGUCUUUGGUGCUGUAUUGAAUUUUAAUACAAACCUCCCCGCCACUAUCUAAGCCCAACACUGUUAGAUAUUUGCCUGGCUUUCAUUAUAACUCCAGUGCACGAAUAGCUGUAAGUUCACAAGGCUGGAGGGCAUCUUUGCUGAAGCUGGAAUCUUUGGUAAAUAACUUGCUGCAGUUUUAGAAGUGUUAAAAGUAACUAAGCACCUAAUGAAUGAGUACCUAAACAAUAGAGUUAGUCAAACUACUCCCACUAUUUCUUUUUGCUUGUAGAAGUAAAUAAAUAGUGAAUGUUUUUUCA